This is a long non-coding RNA of Oreochromis aureus, 1960 nucleotides long. The record is from Ensembl. NCBI's taxonomy places the organism in Eukaryota, Metazoa, Chordata, Actinopteri, Cichliformes, Cichlidae.
CAACGCAUAAAAAUAGGUGCUUGUCAGGUCGUGUGGUUAUAUUAAAUAUAAGCGAAAGAGAGAACUUUCAAGAAAUGAAUAUAGCCGCUACAGUGACCAUCAAGACCAUUAAAUUUGGAUAAUAAAACUCGAGGUGGAAACCAGGAGGCAGCCGGAAGAAUACAUCCGAGGACAGGACACAUCAAGGUACAGUCUGCAGUCUGUGAAGUGGGGCUCCUGCUGCUCAGGUGUUCUCACUGAAGUCCGUUUCACCUGAUGAGAGGAGGCAGCUCUGACUUGGGGCUGUUCAAGAAUGAGCGCCACUUGAUCUGGUUCCACCUCUACCACAGGCAGAGAAACACAGGCCUGGACUCUUUGUUGGCCAGACAAAAUCAGAAACGGAAAUCAUUGGUUUUUACAACUGGGUCCAGUUCCACCUGCAUAGGAUAUGAGGCCAGGGAGCAUGAUUUGGUAAGUAUAACAUUUCACCAGACAGAAGAGUUUGAUUUCCUUUGAUUUCAGUAUUCUCAGCCGGUCGGCCUCAUGUGUGCCUGAUCACAAGUCGGUCCACUUCAUACAUGCACAGUAGCGCAGGCAAAUAGUUGCUCACACGCUCACUGUGGCCAUUAUUGAGCUCACGUUGGGUGGAGAUGAGAAGUUUCAAAGAGAUUUAAUUUAUAUAUUUUAUAUAAUAAAGUAAAUGUACGAAUGACCGGCAAUAAUUCAGUCACUGAAAUUAUCCAUGAAAUUAGCUAAAUGUAACAGUAAAAACUAAAUAUUAAACAUUAUUGUACAGCACGUAAGAUCGACAGUGCCCAGUGUGCUUUGAGGUAGGAGCCAAAAAGGAUGUAGUUUGUGUGUGUGAGCACCCGUGUGUACACCUGUGAGCAUGUAUCUCAUGUAUCUCUGUAUCUCAUUGUACAACUGUAUAGUGACAAUAAAGGCAUUCUAUUCUAUUCUAUGAGCACACUUGUAUUUAAAAGGUUCCUUCAUGUAAUGAUCUGCUAGAGGGUGUGGGGGGCCACAGCCCCGUCCUCCAGGGCAUGAAGCAGGUAUGGAGGAGAUCAAGACUCCAGACAUCCAGAGGCCCUCAGAACACAAGAGACCAAGGAAGACCAACAGAGGCGCCACUAUCCCAGAAAGAGCUGAGGAGAGCCCUAGAUGAGGGGUCACUCAGCAGCCGCGGAGCAGAAGCCAGGGGGGGUUGUAGUGACGUGCCCGUGAGCUCCGCCGGCAGCCAGCUGUGCCAGAGUGACUGAGCCCCAGGCCGAGAGGCCGAGGGCACCCCAUCCCCGAAGUGGCCCGAGCGAGCCCCAGGCUCCAGGCCCCGACAAGCAGCCACCAAGGAGUGAGCCAGUGUGUACCUGGACGCCAAUCCCGGGACACAAAGAACCACCAAUGCACCAAUGUCUGAGGGCAUCUGCCACUGGCAGGGGAAGUGGUGGGGGGAGAUAGGCCUCCAUACCUUGGAGGACCUGAGAUGUCCCCAGAGAGGUGGCAUCUGAUACCCGACCUGACAUAUAGACACAGACAUACAGGCACACACAGAUACAAACAUCCAUUCCCACCCUCAUGCUCUCAUAUGCAAUUACUCAACACUCACCCAACAUGGAGACAGACAUAAAGAGACGCUGUACACACAGUCACACUCCCCAAGCGUACUCUAAGCCCCAGGUCUAGGUACCCUUGCCCCCGGAGGGGGAAACUGCACCCAGACCCAGGUAGUGUUACCCUUUUCCCUGGGGUGGAGAGAAGCAGACUGCCCCGGCUCGGCAGCAGCAGGGAGGCCCCACAUUCCAGACCCCAAUCGGGCGGCCAACUCCUCCUCCUAGCCCUCCCGCUCCAACAGGCUGCAGAGAACGGGGGUGUGUGAAGACUCCAAACCUCCCUCCGCCCGCUCAUAUGUAGUGUUGAUGCACGUGUGUUCUAAGGUGCAUUUAAAACCCAGGAGGGCGUGGAGCUACCUGCCAGAGAGCAGCAG